GUCCUCCUGGUGCUUCCCACAGGCUGUGCUCCUUACACUAACUGUAUAAAAAGGGGAGGGAAAGUAAACCUACCCCAUGUACACCUCAGCCCGUGAGAGACUCGCCUAAAAUGGGGAGUCUCUC
RNAcentral lists this small nucleolar RNA (124 nucleotides) under Castor canadensis (American beaver). RNAcentral's name for it is "Small nucleolar RNA SNORA51 (ENSCCNG00000010677.1)". It matches the Rfam family "Small nucleolar RNA SNORA51". From Rfam's summary of the family: ACA51 is a member of the H/ACA class of snoRNA that guide the sites of modification of uridines to pseudouridines. Lineage: Eukaryota; Metazoa; Chordata; Mammalia; Rodentia; Castoridae. The record is from Rfam by way of RNAcentral.